Paramuricea clavata is the source of this 86-nucleotide non-coding RNA. NCBI's taxonomy places the organism in Eukaryota, Metazoa, Cnidaria, Anthozoa, Malacalcyonacea, Plexauridae. The record is from the annotation of a GenBank genome assembly.
UUCGAUCCGUAAGCCGGGAUCUUCAUCAGUGCUAAUAAUAUGUCAUAUUAUUAGCACUGAUGAAGAUCCCGGCUUACGGAUCGAAA